UUUCCGUAGGUGAACCUGCGGAAGGAUCAUUAACGAAUCAAACAAGUUCAUCUUGUUCUGAUCCUGUGCACCUUAUGUAGUCCCAAAGCCUUCACGGGCGGCGGUUGACUACGUCUACCUCACACCUUAAAGUAUGUUAACGAAUGUAAUCAUGGUCUUGACAGACCCUAAAAAGUUAAUACAACUUUCGACAACGGAUCUCUUGGCUCUC
Molecule: unclassified non-coding RNA, 211 nt
Filed under: root metagenome
Description: partial contains small subunit ribosomal RNA, internal transcribed spacer 1, and 5.8S ribosomal RNA
Source: RNAcentral